GCACUUGUGUCAGGUGUGUCUCAAAUGUCAGUUUGUUUAUUUUGUGUUUUAAAGUGUUUUCAGUUUCAUAACCCAGAGCAUAGUAUUUUGUUUUCCAAGUCUUACUGCUUUUACUUUUAAUCUUGUCUAAGAGGAAUUGAAGCAAAACUAACGUUUUUGAGGUACAAGAGAGUAAGGAACCCUAUGAAAAUGGCUAAGUCCUUUGCAGUAUAGGCAAAAUCAACUUCAUUCAUUCUUUUUAUUCUUUUGCUUUAAUAGCAUAAACCUAUUUUUCUGGCUAAUCGUGGAAAUAUUUGCUGAUUUAAAGGCUAGAAGACAUCAUUAAGAUAUGCUCAUCUAACCUCUUCUGUAAGCCAGACCAGAGAACAGAACUCUAAUCCCAGCAUCAUUCUUCUUGAGAUGGAGAGCACAGCCUUUAGAAAGACACUACAUUUCAUUUCAAGACUUUUAGUGUCAACAAAUUCAUUAUAUUAUCUGUGGUUCUUAGUAACACAAUGAAGGGACAGCGCCUGGUGUAUAAGGUAUACUCUAG
This 532-nucleotide long non-coding RNA is filed under the name Numida meleagris (helmeted guineafowl). Its description in RNAcentral is "lncRNA (ENSNMEG00000019301.1)". The record is from RNAcentral. Lineage: Eukaryota; Metazoa; Chordata; Aves; Galliformes; Numididae.